Zingiber officinale is the source of this 208-nucleotide long non-coding RNA. RefSeq lists it as uncharacterized. The record is from RefSeq and is a predicted model, not a curated record. The transcript has 3 exons. NCBI's taxonomy places the organism in Eukaryota, Viridiplantae, Streptophyta, Magnoliopsida, Zingiberales, Zingiberaceae.
CAGGAAGAUGUGAAGUUGAUGCAUGACAUGGGCCUGGAUGCCUACAGAUUCUCUAUCUCCUGGAGCAGAGUCAUUCCUAAUGGUAGAGGGCCAGUUAAUCCAGAAGGGGUGCAGUAUUAUAAUAACUUGAUCAAUGAACUCAAGAAAUAUGGAAUUGAACCUAAUGUCACUCUUCUUCACUUUCACCUCCCCCAAUCUUUGGAAGAUG